This 394-nucleotide ribosomal RNA is filed under the name uncultured bacterium. Its description in RNAcentral is "bacterial SSU rRNA". It matches the Rfam family "Bacterial small subunit ribosomal RNA", at positions 775 to 1169 of the family's 1533-position model. The record is from RNAcentral.
GGAUUAGAAACCCGGGUAGUCCAUGCCGUAAACGUUGGGAACUAGAUGUGGGGUCCAUUCCACGGAUUCCGUGUCGCAGCUAACGCAUUAAGUUCCCCGCCUGGGGAGUACGGCCGCAAGGCUAAAACUCAAAGGAAUUGACGGGGGCCCGCACAAGCGGCGGAGCAUGCGGAUUAAUUCGAUGCAACGCGAAGAACCUUACCAAGGCUUGACAUACACCGGAAAAGGCUGGAAACAGUCUCCCCGCAAGGCCGGUGAACAGGUGGUGCAUGGUUGUCGUCAGCUCGUGUCGUGAGAUGUUGGGUUAAGUCCCGCAACGAGCGCAACCCUCGUUCUAUGUUGCCAGCACGUCAUGGUGGGAACUCAUAGGAGACUGCCGGGGUCAACUCGGAGG